CGGGCGAGGUUGCUUCGGUAACUGAGCUAGCGGCGGACGGGUGAGUAAUACUUAGGAAUCUGCCUAUUAGUGGGGGACAACAUUCCGAAAGGAAUGCUAAUACCGCAUACGCCCUACGGGGGAAAGCAGGGGAUCUUCGGACCUUGCGCUAAUAGAUGAGCCUAAGUCAGAUUAGCUAGUUGGUGGGGUAAAGGCCUACCGAGGCGACGAUCUGUAGCGGGUCUGAGAGGAUGAUCCGCCACACUGGGACUGAGACACGGCCCAGACUCCUACGGGAGGCAGCAGUGGGGAAUAUUGGACAAUGGGCGCAAGCCUGAUCCAGCCAUGCCGCGUGUGUGAAGAAGGCCUUUUGGUUGUAAAGCACAUUAAGCGAGGAGGAGGCUACUUGGAUUAAUACUCUAGGAUAGUGGACGUUACUCGCAGAAUAAGCACCGGCUAACUCUGUGCCAGCAGCCGCGGUAAUACAGAGGGUGCGAGCGUUAAUCGGAUUUACUGGGCGUAAAGCGUGCGUAGGCGGCUUCUUAAGUCGGAUGUGAAAUCCCUGAGCUUAACUUAGGAAUUGCAUUCGAUACUGGGAAGCUAGAGUAUGGGAGAGGAUGGUAGAAUUCCAGGUGUAGCGGUGAAAUGCGUAGAGAUCUGGAGGAAUACCGAUGGCGAAGGCAGCCAUCUGGCCUAAUACUGACGCUGAGGUACGAAAGCAUGGGGAGCAAACAGGAUUAGAUAC
RNAcentral lists this ribosomal RNA (724 nucleotides) under uncultured bacterium. Its description in RNAcentral is "bacterial SSU rRNA". It matches the Rfam family "Bacterial small subunit ribosomal RNA", at positions 67 to 785 of the family's 1533-position model. The record is from RNAcentral.